ACACAUGCAAGUCGAGGGGAAACGACGUCGAAAGCUUGCUUUCGAUGGGCGUCGACCGGCGCACGGGUGAGUAACGCGUAUCCAACCUGCCCACCACUUGGGGAUAACCUUGCGAAAGUAAGACUAAUACCCAAUGAUAUCUCUAGAAGACAUCUGAAAGAGAUUAAAGAUUUAUCGGUGAUGGAUGGGGAUGCGUCUGAUUAGCUUGUUGGCGGGGUAACGGCCCACCAAGGCUACGAUCAGUAGGGGUUCUGAGAGGAAGGUCCCCCACAUUGGAACUGAGACACGGUCCAAACUCCUACGGGAGGCAGCAGUGAGGAAUAUUGGUCAAUGGACGAGAGUCUGAACCAGCCAAGUAGCGUGCAGGAUGACGGCCCUAUGGGUUGUAAACUGCUUUUAUAAGGGAAUAAAGUGAGUCUCGUGAGGCUUUUUGCAUGUACCUUAUGAAUAAGGACCGGCUAAUUCCGUGCCAGCAGCCGCGGUAAUACGGAAGGUCCGGGCGUUAUCCGGAUUUAUUGGGUUUAAAGGGAGCGUAGGCCGGAGAUUAAGCGUGUUGUGAAAUGUAGAUGCUCAACAUCUGCACUGCAGCGCGAACUGGUUUCCUUGAGUACGCACAAAGUGGGCGGAAUUCGUGGUGUAGCGGUGAAAUGCUUAGAUAUCACGAAGAACUCCGAUUGCGAAGGCAGCUCACUGGAGCGCAACUGACGCUGAAGCUCGAAAGUGCGGGUAUCGAACAGGAUUAGAUACCCUGGUAGUCCGCACGGUAAACGAUGGAUGCCCGCUGUUGGUCUGAAUAGGUCAGCGGCCAAGCGAAAGCAUUAAGCAUCCCACCUGGGGAGUACGCCGGCAACGGGGAAACUCAAAGGA
This 867-nucleotide ribosomal RNA is filed under the name uncultured bacterium. RNAcentral's name for it is "bacterial SSU rRNA". It matches the Rfam family "Bacterial small subunit ribosomal RNA", at positions 51 to 908 of the family's 1533-position model. The record is from RNAcentral.